RNAcentral lists this ribosomal RNA (278 nucleotides) under uncultured Synergistaceae bacterium. Its description in RNAcentral is "partial 16S ribosomal RNA". It matches the Rfam family "Bacterial small subunit ribosomal RNA", at positions 1106 to 1382 of the family's 1533-position model. The record is from RNAcentral. Lineage: Bacteria; Thermotogati; Synergistota; Synergistia; Synergistales; Synergistaceae.
UGCAUUCAGUUGCCAUCGGGUAAUGCCGGGCACUCUGGAAGGACUGCCAUCGACAAGAUGGAGGAAGGUGGGGAUGACGUCAAGUCAUCAUGGCCCUUAUGUCCAGGGCGACACACGUGCUACAAUGGCCGGCACAACGGGAAGCGAGUUCGCGAGGACAAGCGGAUCCCUUAAAGCCGGUCGCAGUUCGGAUUGAAGUCUGCAACUCGACUUCAUGAAGCUGGAAUCGCUAGUAAUCGUGGAUCAGCCAAGCCGCGGUGAAUACGUUCCCGGGCCUU